GGUGAUCAUUAUUUUCUUCCUUGUAUCUUUUCCUGUUGUCAGCCUGGAUAGCAGAAGUUUAAAUACCACAGCAAUAUAUUAACAUAUAUGAGAGGAGUUACCUUUACCCAACCUGCAGGCAGCCCUGGGACUAUCCUUCCCAUUUCCUCACUUCGUGCUCUUAUUAAUGGCUCCCGCUGGGACUAAUAAACAAAGAGAAAGAAAAGGUUUGGAACUGGACUGUUUUCAGCAAAAAUCCUAGAUGAGGAUGUUGCUUUGCUUCCUGUGCCAGCAACAACAGGUGGCACAGGAGCUGGCUCUUCCAGAGAUGGAUAUGUAAAAUCCA
Vidua chalybeata is the source of this 325-nucleotide long non-coding RNA. RefSeq lists it as uncharacterized. The transcript has 4 exons. Lineage: Eukaryota; Metazoa; Chordata; Aves; Passeriformes; Viduidae. The record is from RefSeq and is a predicted model, not a curated record.